UGGGGUGUAUCCUAGUGGUAAAGUGUGUGCAUAGUAUGCACAGGCCCUGGGUUCAAUACUCAGCAUUAA
RNAcentral lists this transfer RNA (69 nucleotides) under Marmota monax (woodchuck). RNAcentral's name for it is "tRNA.Thr". The record is from RNAcentral. Lineage: Eukaryota; Metazoa; Chordata; Mammalia; Rodentia; Sciuridae.